RNAcentral lists this unclassified non-coding RNA (255 nucleotides) under root metagenome. RNAcentral's name for it is "partial contains small subunit ribosomal RNA, internal transcribed spacer 1, and 5.8S ribosomal RNA". The record is from RNAcentral.
UCUCCGUUGGUGAACCAGCGGAGGGAUCAUUGCUGGAACUGUGUCCGCAAGGACACAACCCCAGAUACCCUUUGUGAACUUAUACCUAUAUAUCGUUGCCUCGGCGCUGAGCUGGAAGCACUUCGGUGCUUUCCCACUGAGCAAUCAGUGGAGCAGGCCCGCCGGUGGCCCAUUAAACUCUUGUUUAUUUUUGUCUUCUCUGAGUUAUUCAAAACAAAUGAAUCAAAACUUUCAACAACGGAUCUCUUGGUUCUG